ACGCUCGACACCUACGGAGGCAGCAGUUAGGAAUAUUGGGCAAUGGAGGAAACUCUGACCCAGCAACGCCGCGUGAAGGAAGAAGGUUUUCGGAUUGUAAACUUCUGAUCUAGGGGAAGAAGGAAGUGACGGUACCCUAGGAGAAAGCCACGGCUAACUACGUGCCAGCAGCCGCGGUAAUCGUGAGGCGGGCUGGCAAGGC
RNAcentral lists this ribosomal RNA (202 nucleotides) under uncultured bacterium. RNAcentral describes it as "partial 16S ribosomal RNA". It matches the Rfam family "Bacterial small subunit ribosomal RNA", at positions 328 to 539 of the family's 1533-position model. The record is from RNAcentral.